UUUUUUGGAGAGUUUGAUCCUGGCUCAGGAUGAACGCUGGCGGCGUGCCUAAUACAUGCAAGUCGAGCGGGAGAAUCAUCCUCCGGGAUGAG
RNAcentral lists this ribosomal RNA (92 nucleotides) under Thermoactinomyces intermedius. RNAcentral describes it as "partial 16S ribosomal RNA". It matches the Rfam family "Bacterial small subunit ribosomal RNA", at positions 1 to 89 of the family's 1533-position model. The record is from RNAcentral. Lineage: Bacteria; Bacillati; Bacillota; Bacilli; Caryophanales; Thermoactinomycetaceae.